Long non-coding RNA from Vigna radiata var. radiata (mung bean), 293 nucleotides. RefSeq lists it as uncharacterized. The record is from RefSeq and is a predicted model, not a curated record. The transcript has 3 exons. Lineage: Eukaryota; Viridiplantae; Streptophyta; Magnoliopsida; Fabales; Fabaceae.
AUUUUGCAGUGACGUGAGAAACAAUAGCUUGACAGGCAAUAUUCCUGAAAACAUAGGCAAUUGUACUGCUUUCCAGAUCUUGGAUUUAUCUUACAACAAGCUAUCUGGAGAGAUACCAUUCAAUAUUGGUUUCCUACAAGUAGCAACUCUGUCAUUGCAAGGCAAUAAACUCUUAGGUUAUAUUCCAUCAGUUAUCGGUCUGAUGCAAGCCCUUACUGUUUUGUAAGUAUUCGAUUGGCAAACUUUAUGAAGUUUCUUUGUUGACUUGAUAUUUUUCCUCUUUACUAAUCUCC